GUUUCAGGGCGGGGUGAAAGUCCCCACUGGCGGUACAGUCCGCGAACCGGCGCAAGUCGGCCGAAUGGGUGCGAUUCCCAUACCAACGGUAUAGUCCGGAUGAAAGAAA
This 109-nucleotide non-coding RNA is filed under the name Anaerotruncus massiliensis (ex Togo et al. 2026). RNAcentral describes it as "FMN riboswitch (RFN element)". It matches the Rfam family "FMN riboswitch aptamer (RFN element)". From Rfam's summary of the family: The RFN element is a highly conserved domain that is found frequently in the 5'-untranslated regions of prokaryotic mRNAs that encode for flavin mononucleotide (FMN) biosynthesis and transport proteins. This element is a metabolite-dependent riboswitch that directly binds FMN in the absence of proteins. In Bacillus subtilis, the riboswitch most likely controls gene expression by causing premature transcription termination within the 5' untranslated region of the ribDEAHT operon and precluding access to the ribosome-binding site of ypaA mRNA. The record is from RNAcentral. Lineage: Bacteria; Bacillati; Bacillota; Clostridia; Eubacteriales; Oscillospiraceae.